AAACUUUCAACAACGGAUCUCUUGGUUCUGGCAUCGAUGAAGAACGCAGCGAAAUGCGAUAAGUAAUGUGAAUUGCAGAAUUCAGUGAAUCAUCGAAUCUUUGAACGCACAUUGCGCCCUUUGGUAUUCCGAAGGGCAUGCCUGUUCGAGCGUCAUUUCACCACUCAA
Molecule: ribosomal RNA, 168 nt
Filed under: Pseudocercospora musae
Lineage: Eukaryota; Fungi; Ascomycota; Dothideomycetes; Mycosphaerellales; Mycosphaerellaceae
Description: 5.8S ribosomal RNA
Rfam family: 5.8S ribosomal RNA
About the family: 5.8S ribosomal RNA (5.8S rRNA) is a component of the large subunit of the eukaryotic ribosome. It is transcribed by RNA polymerase I as part of the 45S precursor that also contains 18S and 28S rRNA.
Source: RNAcentral